CAUGUGUAGUGGGUAGUAUCGCGACUUAUUUCCCCGAGGAGGCAUUUCUCGUACACACCGGGCCCCAGCCGUGGAGGGAGGGGGCUGCUGUGUUAUUUUUGUGUUUUUUGAAGCGAAUUAUCCUGUUGCCGAGGGAGCCAUGCAUCUGGAAACGGCUGGGGAAGGAGACGGUGGCUGAGUGGUUAGCGUGCCGGUCCUGCGUUCGCUGCGUCAUAGAUGAUGAGGGUUUGAAUCCACCGCUGCCACAGACUACUUGUCCUGAAGACCACCACCAUCAUCCUGGACUGUAUGGGACUGUCCAAGGGAAAGCUAGAUGGGGCCGCUAUAAACACUUGCCGGCUUGGGCCCACCACCAGGCCCAGCCAAGGGAGGUUGGUGUUGUAGCGGCAGCCUAGGCCGCUACAGCGAAAACCAAACAUUACUGUUUGUAUGUUUUCGAGGCAGCAUACGUUGUAGCUGGUACAACGCCGUUUGGAUCCGCUAAGGCCGCCUUGUAGGUUAAAAGACACAACUAAUAACCAGUGGUGACUCCAUUGAGGAAGACAUUUAUUUUGAGGCUAUACAUGUAUUUGAAUAUUAUGAAUGAAUAUUUAUAAUGGUUGAUAUACAGUAGCGUUUAUAAUAUUAGCUCUUUGGUGAUGUUAGUUGCACAUAAUGUCGCUUAUAAUAAUAAGAAUGAUUAUAUACAUUUAUAAUAUGUAGUGACUCGUAAGAAAAGAAAUUAAUGUGUGAUGAAUAUGUGUAAUAGAUGAAAUGGAAUGGUGUGUGUUGAAAGUGAGAGAAAAGAAAGAGAGCGUGAUGAGUUAAGGGUAGACUGAAGAAAUGGAAGAUGGAGAGAACGGGAUGAGCAAUAGAAAAUGGAGAGACUUAGAGGGUCACUACAUAACUCCCCCCCUAGUGACGAGGGAGGAGGAACGUUACAUGUCUCUUGCGGCACUGGAUUUUGUCGGUCAGUACUGGUCUGGGGGACACUAACACGGUGUUGGUGGGUGGAGGAUCUGGCUGCAGGAGGUACGCGGGCUUGACCCGGUCGAUGGCGAUGACAUCGGAUUUUCCGUGGCGGUCAAUGGUGACGUGUUUACGCGUCCUCCUGGUGACAGCGAACGGGCCAUCAUAUGGCUGUUGUAGGGGCUUCUUUACGGCGUCCACCCGUACGAACACGUGUGUGCAGGUGUCGAGGUCCUGGCUCACGAACGUCUUGGAGG
Molecule: long non-coding RNA, 1205 nt
Organism: Eriocheir sinensis (Chinese mitten crab)
Lineage: Eukaryota; Metazoa; Arthropoda; Malacostraca; Decapoda; Varunidae
Exons: 3
Source: RefSeq, a predicted model, not a curated record